Oryza meridionalis is the source of this 191-nucleotide non-coding RNA. The record is from Rfam. NCBI's taxonomy places the organism in Eukaryota, Viridiplantae, Streptophyta, Magnoliopsida, Poales, Poaceae.
GUUCCGUGCAACCAUAACUUUUCGCGCAAUCGUCCGUCUUAUUUAAAUUUUUUUAUAAUUAAUAUUUUUUUAUAUGGGAUAAUAAAACAUGAAUAGUACUUUAUUCGUGACUUAUGUUUUUUAAUUUUUUUCAAAUUUUUUUUAAAUAAGACAGACAAUCUUAGACGUAUAAAAUCAUGGCUGCACUUAAA